Molecule: transfer RNA, 71 nt
Filed under: Caudoviricetes sp.
Lineage: Duplodnaviria; Heunggongvirae; Uroviricota; Caudoviricetes
Description: tRNA-Gln
Rfam family: tRNA
About the family: Transfer RNA (tRNA) molecules are approximately 80 nucleotides in length. Their secondary structure includes four short double-helical elements and three loops (D, anti-codon, and T loops). Further hydrogen bonds mediate the characteristic L-shaped molecular structure. tRNAs have two regions of fundamental functional importance: the anti-codon, which is responsible for specific mRNA codon recognition, and the 3' end, to which the tRNAs corresponding amino acid is attached (by aminoacyl-tRNA synthetases). tRNAs cope with the degeneracy of the genetic code in two manners: having more than one tRNA (with a specific anti-codon) for a particular amino acid; and 'wobble' base-pairing, i.e. permitting non-standard base-pairing at the 3rd anti-codon position.
Source: RNAcentral
AGCGGUUUAGUGUAGUGGUAGCACAUCAGAUUUUGCCUCUGAUAACAUUGGUUCAAUUCCAGUAACCGCUG